This is a non-coding RNA of Paramarasmius palmivorus, 93 nucleotides long. The record is from the annotation of a GenBank genome assembly. NCBI's taxonomy places the organism in Eukaryota, Fungi, Basidiomycota, Agaricomycetes, Agaricales, Marasmiaceae.
GGUGCUAUAGUGUAGUGGUUAUCACUCGGGAUUCUGAUGCGCAACUUCAAAUUGCGGAUUCCCGAAACCCAGGUUCGAAUCCUGGUAGCACCU